UGUAUGUUUCUAUUUAUAGUCUGUUUCUCUUUAUAGUCUGUGUGUAUAAAUAUGAUGAGUUUGAAUAUCACGGGUGAUGAAAAAAAAAAAAAAUGAAUAUCACGGGUCCUCGAAAACCACUCCUUCUUUAUCCCCACUGUUUCAUGUUUUCUUCGCAUAGGUAAUGGGUUCAAUUGUGAAAAAAAAAAAAAAAGGUAAUGGGUUCAAUAUUUCGUCUAUAUUAAAACUUAUACACACAACUAUUUUGCCCUAAAUGAAUUGUGACGGAGAGAAUUUUACGCUCUAAACUGGAAAAGAUAGAGUGAUCCUGAAACGAAUAAACGGAGGAGAAGGGGAGAGAAGGAGUAUCAUAGUUUAGUUUCUCUCACACUGUAUCCGAUUAUUUAACUCCACGUUGACACGUUGUCUCUGACGCGUGAGAGACUUGUUGUCAAAUGUAAUAAACCAGCUAAUAAUUAGUCUGUCUCCUGGUACAGUCAUGGUUGCAUGCAUGAUCAUAGUUUGGUUUCUCCCACACUAUGGAUCAAUUUAGUUUACAUAGUGAAGCAAGUUUAUGUUUUCAAUUUCAUGUUGUUACUCACCUUUUCUAUUUAGUUCAAGUGAACAUAUAACUCAUAUCGUGGACCAAAUUAGAUUUCAUAGUUAGUUCACAUGAUGGACCAAACUUAGAUGUUAAAAUUUUGUACAUAUCUUAAAAACUCAACGGCCUUGAAAUAUGAUGAAGUUCAAUUUGUUUUAAGUACAUAGCCGAGACAAGUUUGAUUCAUCUUGUAGAUAAAAUACUAGAAAACGUUAACAAAUUGUAUAUUUGCUUAUCUUUUGCUUAUACUCUACUUAUGUUUUACAUAAUUUUUGUUUGUUUAUAUUUGGCCGACCACAAAAACCAAAUCUAAUUAUGGCCUUUACCGGAACUAAUUUUUGUAUUGGUUUUUAUUUUAUUUUAUUUUAUUAAUUUGGAUUGUAAAAUCCAGUAACAAUUUUACUAUUUCAACGUAAGUAAUGUAGAGAAAAAUCUCUUGCAAAAAGAAUUUACUUGUUCGAAAGUAAACUAUAUAACUGCUGACAAAGACAAAAAAAAAUAAAAAAUAAUAAGAGAGUGGCUUGUAAUAUAGAAGAAAUAUAAGGGUAGAGGGAUGGCAAAAAAAAAAGCUAGGUAAUUCACCAGGAGAAAAUUUUACAUUUUUACUAAAGUAUUUUAUAUGUUUGAAAUCUAUUUUAACAGGUUUCCGAUGGAGAUCUUGUCAUUUGCUUCCCCAAACAUAACCAACCAGCUUUUGCCCAUCCUCGUUUAAUACAUCUCAAGAUACAGGUUUGUUUCUUUACUUUUUAAAUUUUGUUUCUUUACUUUUUAAAUUUUGUUGCUCGAUUACUUAUGAUUCCUAGAAUGACUGGAACUAGCAAGAAAAGUGAAUGGCGAACAUCAGAGGCACACGUCAGUACCGCCAAAUGUCCUGAAGGUACAGUGCCAAUACAAAACAUAACCGUUUUGGAUCAUCGAGCAAAACCAGAAAGAGGCAAUAACAAUACUAGUUUCAUCCCCUAACAUGAGGUACAUAAACUACUAGUUUCAUCCCCUAACAUGAGGUACAUAAACUGUUAAACAUAUAUCUAUCAUUGUACUUCUCUCUUUGGUAAUACGUAUUUCUCUCUUUGGUAAAAAUGAAUGUACUUCUCGAUUUUUAGUUUUGAAGAAAUUAAAUGCAUUAUUAAUUGGUAAGUGUUUUUUUCCCAACCGUUUUGUCAAUAUAUUAUUUUCCUAAUAUUUGUGAUGAUAGAGUGAUUAUUUUUUACAUAUAUAGAGAUUAUAUUGAGAUUUGUUUUUUUUUUAAACACAUCUCUAGAUUUGUUUUAGGUCCAUAAUAGACUUCGAU
Molecule: small RNA, 1871 nt
Filed under: Arabidopsis thaliana (thale cress)
Lineage: Eukaryota; Viridiplantae; Streptophyta; Magnoliopsida; Brassicales; Brassicaceae
Description: ATSL125550
Source: RNAcentral